AGCUUUGUAAAUGUUGAACAGUUCUUUCCUCCAUGAAUAAAAAAAAAAAUUAUAUAAUUGAAAAUAAAAAAUGCAAUGAAUAAACCCUUUUCCGCAAAAAUAUGGAGGACAUUGUUCAAAGCCUCCAUAGUUGUCUACACAUUAUGGUCAGUGGAAGAUAGUAACUUGGCUUCCUCAGUUGAGAUCUCAUUCAUUGAGAGCUGAAUAUUUGACUUGGAACUCAUUUUGUUCCACUCAUUUUCAACACGGAAGAAAACCCAUUGGAAACGGCGGACCAUCUCCAAGGCAGUGAUUGUAAACACAGUGAGGUAAUUAUGACGGAGAUGGGCAGACAGCUUGUACGUCCAAAUGCAACGCAGAACCAAAUUGCUUCCUAUGACCCAAAAAUAUACCCAUUUUCGUCCAUAGAGCAGGUAAGAGAAGAGACUUGGUUUGUUAAAUUUGAAAAUUCGAGUGAAGCAGCUCAAGUCCCAAUCCCGAGUCACAUCCCAAUAAAAUGAGUACAAUGAGUUCAAAACACUUGAUAGAAGCCAGAAAGGCCGAUAAAAAUUUGUCCAUCUAUCAGGGAAGACAUGAUAUUUAAGCGCUGAAAGAAAAAUCACUGGCACUGCAGUUGAAUAUUUUAAAGCAUUAAAGAGA
This 639-nucleotide unclassified non-coding RNA is filed under the name Hevea brasiliensis (rubber tree). The record is from RNAcentral. Lineage: Eukaryota; Viridiplantae; Streptophyta; Magnoliopsida; Malpighiales; Euphorbiaceae.